GGUCCCUCUCCGUCCUUGCUUCGGUAGAGCAGCUGAUUCGACGACAAGAUUUGGUACUAGUAUAGUUGAUCUGAUUCGACCUUCUCUGUCCCCCACCGUUGUCGCUCCAUUCCUCCGCUCCCCCACCCUCUCCUCCGCAUCUCCAGCCGACGUGGGGAGCGGCAUGCCUCCAAUGAGAUAUGUCGGGAGCUGCAGCCAUCCUUGGGGAGUAGCUGGACAACAACAAGGUCUGCAGGUCACCACCGUCUUCCAAGAAGAGCUUGGAGAAGCUAUCCCUUGGAUCAUCUACACUAGGUUGACAAGCUGCCGGCGGCUUCCCACACCGCCCCUCCUCCCAAGCUACACCCCAUCCUCGCAGACGAUAGAGGAGGCGCCGUGCAUACAGCAAAGCUAUGGUGGCGCGACUGGCCUGCUCGUUGACGAGCCGUGCAUCGAUUCGGCAGCGCCACAUGGCUCCGUCGAUCACACUGGUCUGCGUCGUGCACGUCGACGAGGGAGCUGCACGCAGCCGCGGGACACUGGUGACCAGGAGGUUGACAUGCUCAUCCUAGAGAUGCCACCUUUCCAGGGCUAGUCAGCGUCGGCUUCAAAGGGUUUCGCCAUUGCCGGCAACGGCAGCCUGGAGAGUCUCCAAAACGAGUAGCAGCACAUGAUCCGCAAGGUGAGCUACCAAUUUCAUGUUCGGUUAGAUCCGGUGUGGUUCGAUUCGUUGAUGUGGAAAAUGCCUGGACUCGCUUCGGUUUCGGUUGCAAGAGCUGCCGGUGCUGGUUGUGGCUCACCCUCUUGUCUAGCUACAUGUUGGAGUGGUGCAGGUAGUAUCCACUCAUUGCACCUGCAUAUUUUGUAUUUACUGUCGUUUGGUUCAAUGGAAAAUAUUAUGUGUUGUGUGA
Lolium perenne is the source of this 890-nucleotide long non-coding RNA. RefSeq lists it as uncharacterized. The record is from RefSeq and is a predicted model, not a curated record. NCBI's taxonomy places the organism in Eukaryota, Viridiplantae, Streptophyta, Magnoliopsida, Poales, Poaceae.